This 497-nucleotide ribosomal RNA is filed under the name uncultured bacterium. Its description in RNAcentral is "partial 16S ribosomal RNA". It matches the Rfam family "Bacterial small subunit ribosomal RNA", at positions 28 to 507 of the family's 1533-position model. The record is from RNAcentral.
GAUGAACGCUGGCGGCGUGCCUAAUACAUGCAAGUCGAGCGAACGGACGAGAAGCUUGCUUCUCUGAUGUUAGCGGCGGACGGGUGAGUAAAACGUGGAUAACCUACCUAUAAGACUGGGAUAACUUCGGGAAACCGGAGCUAAUACCGGAUAAUAUUUUGAACCGCAUGGUUCAAAAGUGAAAGACGGUCUUGCUGUCACUUAUAGAUUGAUCCGCGCUGCAUUAGCUAGUUGGUAAGGUAACGGCUUACCAAGGCAACGAUGCAUAGCCGACCUGAGAGGGUGAUCGGCCACACUGGAACUGAGACACGGUCCAGACUCCUACGGGAGGCAGCAGUAGGGAAUCUUCCGCAAUGGGCGAAAGCCUGACGGAGCAACGCCGCGUGAGUGAUGAAGGUCUUCGGAUCGUAAAACUCUGUUAUUAGGGAAGAACAUAUGUGUGAGUAACUGUGCACAUCUUGACGGUACCUAAUCAGAAAGCCACGGCUAACUACGUG